UCACAUAAUUGCAAAUCAAUUCAAGUAGCCUUUAAUGGAUAUUCAAGGAACACAAUAUAAAUCAUGGAUACAAAUGGAAUAUCAUCAUCUCUAUGAUUGCCUCUAGGGCAUACCUCCAACAAUUCGUGGCGCAAUCAAGAAUGCGGGUGACCAACCUGGGGAUGCAGCUGGCAACUCUAAAGAAGGGAACCCUGACUACUUCGGCCUACUUCAACAAGAUGCAAAACAUAAAAGAUGAACUUGCUACUGCUGGAAAGCCUGUUGGAGAUGAUGAGGUUGUUGCUCAUAUCCUCAAUAGUCUAGAUUUUGAUUAUCAUCCUCUUGUAUCCUCGAUGCUUGGCCGUGUAGAUCCGAUCUCGCUGUCAGAUCUCUACUCUCAAUUGAUGGAGUAUGAUCUUCGCCUGGAAAUGUUUCAAGAAGCUGGACAAUUUUAGUCGUUGGCCAAUUCUGCCUCUCGUGGACGCGAUCAUAACCGUGGUCGUGGGAACUACCACGGCAAUGGUAAUAGUGGCGGCCGUGGUGGUCAGUUCAGUUAAGGCCGUGGAGGAUAGAACCAAGGAGUGGUGCAAAUCCAUCCAAGAAGAGCGGCAAACCACAGUGUCAAAUCUGUAAGAAAGUAGGACAUGAAGCCCUAAGAUGCUGGUAUCGCUAUGAUGAUGAUGAUCAGCAACAAGGCAAGACAGCAGGCGCUGCAGCAAUUGGCUAUGGCUAUGACACCAACUAAUAUGCAGAUAGUGGUGCCACAGAUCAUGUGACCAAUGAAUUGGAGAAGCUGACGGUCCGUGACAAGUACACGUGGUGUGAUCAGGUUCAUACCGCCAGUGGAUCAGGUAUAAAAAAUUAGUAAUAUUGGGCAUAUAAUUUUUCAUACCCCUAAUAGAAAUCUACAUCUUAACAAUAUUCUCCAUGUCCCUAGCGCUCACAAAAAUCUUAUCCCUGUACAUAAAUUAGCUCGAGACAAUAAUACUUUCCUUGAAUUUCACCCAAAUUUCUUUCUCAUCAAGGAUCAGGAAACGAAGAAAAUUCUACAUCAAGGUAGAUGUAAAGGUGGUCUAUAUCCUCUAGGGUCGCAUUCAUCAAGGGAAGGUUCAAGUAAAUAAGUUCAUGUUCCAGAUGGCAUGGUAGGCUAGGUCAUCCAGCAAUUCCAAUAGAAUCGAUGCAUAAAGCUAACUGGAUGGACAAUGCUUGUAUAGCUCGAAUUAUGUAGAAGAGAAAACACCUCAGAUUCCUGAAGAGGGGAGGUCUGAAACUGCUUGCUGUGGAGGACCAGAGGGCGCUCAUGGUGCGCCUGUGCACGUUGUUCGCUCCGAUUCGUGAGUUCAUGAGCAAUUGACGUAAGUUCCGGGCUGCGGCAGACACGGAGCUAUAGGCGGCGGCGGCGUCAAACGCCAGGUUGCAAACUCGUGAUGCUCCGUCACCGAGACUUGCAACACCAGGCGAGGACGUUCCUCCUCUGUUGUGCGCCUGUGUCUGUC
This 1475-nucleotide long non-coding RNA is filed under the name Setaria italica (foxtail millet). RNAcentral describes it as "long non-coding RNA (SITA_LNC006789)". The stretch from base 258 to 356 matches the Rfam family "Small nucleolar RNA Z247". Lineage: Eukaryota; Viridiplantae; Streptophyta; Magnoliopsida; Poales; Poaceae. The record is from RNAcentral.